AACCUUUAGUUUUUGUCUGGAAUUUGUCCGGUGACCGGUUUUUACUGACACCGGCGCCGGAAAUUACAAGGUGGCAGCCGGAAUCGAUGCAGUGGCAGCCGGAAAGUGACACCUAAGCAAAUUUAGGACAUGUGGAAAAAAAUAAAAAAAAAUGAUAAAGAAAACAUCCACAUCAUCAUCUUCUCCAUUCUCCCACCUCCCAAACCCUAACUCCCCCCCUCGCCGGCGCCGCCUGCCGCCACCACACGCCGGCGCCGGCAGCACCUUCUCCCUCCCUAGACCCGUCGGCCUCCCCCUCCCCUCCCCAAAAAUCCCGUCAGCCCCUCCCCAUCCCCAGAUCCCGGUGCCCCCUCCCCAAUCCCAGAUCCCGCCGCAGCCUGCCACAACCACACGCCGGCGCCCGCCGCCCCCUCCACCUCGCCGGCCUUCUCCUCCCUCCUCCCCUCUCUGAAACUUUCGGCGACCAUCAGCGGCGAAGCCGCCGCCAUCGUCUCUCCCUCAAACCCCAUCUNCAUCCACAUCAUCAUCUUCUCCAUUCUCCCACCUCCCAAACCCUAACUCCCCCC
Molecule: long non-coding RNA, 566 nt
Filed under: Salvia miltiorrhiza (redroot sage)
Lineage: Eukaryota; Viridiplantae; Streptophyta; Magnoliopsida; Lamiales; Lamiaceae
Description: long non-coding RNA (SMIL_LNC000771)
Source: RNAcentral